Molecule: ribosomal RNA, 381 nt
Filed under: uncultured bacterium
Lineage: Bacteria
Description: bacterial SSU rRNA
Rfam family: Bacterial small subunit ribosomal RNA
Source: RNAcentral
GACAGAGGGUGCAAACGUUGUUCGGAAUUACUGGGCGUAAAGCGCGUGUAGGCGGCCGCACAGGUCGGAUGUGAAAUCCCUCGGCUCAACCAAGGAAGUGCAUUCGAAACCGUGCGGCUAGAGUCUCGGAGAGGAAGGUGGAAUUGUCGGUGUAGAGGUGAAAUUCGUAGAUAUCGACAGGAACAUCGGCGGCGAAAGCGGCCUUCUGGACGAAGACUGACGCUGAGACGCGAAAAUGCGGGGAGCAAACAGGAUUAGAUACCCUGGUAGUCCGCACCGUAAACGAUGGGUGCUAGAUGUCACGGGCUUUGACCCCUGUGGCGUCGUAGCCAACGCGUUAAGCACCCCGCCUGGGAAGUACGGCCGCAAGGCUAAAACUCA